RNAcentral lists this ribosomal RNA (439 nucleotides) under Bacillus altitudinis. RNAcentral's name for it is "bacterial SSU rRNA". It matches the Rfam family "Bacterial small subunit ribosomal RNA", at positions 100 to 525 of the family's 1533-position model. Lineage: Bacteria; Bacillati; Bacillota; Bacilli; Caryophanales; Bacillaceae. The record is from RNAcentral.
GGACGGGUGAGUAACACGUGGGUAACCUGCCUGUAAGACUGGGAUAACUCCGGGAAACCGGAGCUAAUACCGGAUAGUUCCUUGAACCGCAUGGUUCAAGGAUGAAAGACGGUUUCGGCUGUCACUUACAGAUGGACCCGCGGCGCAUUAGCUAGUUGGUGAGGUAACGGCUCACCAAGGCGACGAUGCGUAGCCGACCUGAGAGGGUGAUCGGCCACACUGGGACUGAGACACGGCCCAGACUCCUACGGGAGGCAGCAGUAGGGAAUCUUCCGCAAUGGACGAAAGUCUGACGGAGCAACGCCGCGUGAGUGAUGAAGGUUUUCGGAUCGUAAAGCUCUGUUGUUAGGGAAGAACAAGUGCAAGAGUAACUGCUUGCACCUUGACGGUACCUAACCAGAAAGCCACGGCUAACUACGUGCCAGCAGCCGCGGUAAUA